UUCUCGCUGUCAAACUUUUUGAAGGCACAGAGGAGGUCAGACUUGUGCGCAAACAGCUGCUCCCGCAGGACCCUGAGAGCCGAGCGCUCGGUUCGCCCGACACUGCGGACGAGACGACGGCAAACAGAAGAGUGGAGAACAUCGGUUAUCACAGAAAGAGGCAAAACGGGUUUCUCAUCAAGGUAUCUGAAGCUUCCUCUGUCAGUCCCUGAUUCAACAGAGACCAGAUGUCCUGCUGUCACCUUCUUUAAUGACCUCAAAUCCUCUUAGCGAUACGGAGGAGUGACUGCUGUUGUGUACUGCUCUUUAUCAAACUCUUCUGGGAAGGACGGCAUGCCAUUC
This is a long non-coding RNA of Archocentrus centrarchus (flier cichlid), 342 nucleotides long. RefSeq lists it as uncharacterized. NCBI's taxonomy places the organism in Eukaryota, Metazoa, Chordata, Actinopteri, Cichliformes, Cichlidae. The record is from RefSeq and is a predicted model, not a curated record. The transcript is spliced from 3 exons.